Molecule: long non-coding RNA, 8306 nt
Organism: Drosophila miranda
Lineage: Eukaryota; Metazoa; Arthropoda; Insecta; Diptera; Drosophilidae
Exons: 3
Source: RefSeq, a predicted model, not a curated record
UUCUUUUAAAAUGGAUUGCGUCUUCCCAGUCCGUUCCCGUCCUCGGAGCGGGCUCCAUCCUCAUGUCAGCAUCAGCGUAGGCCCUGUUGUUGGCUGGGUGCGAACCGCCGCAACUUUCGCAUUUAGUUGGGAGCGGACCGCCGCAAUUUUCGCAUUUAGCUGGGUGCAGUGGACGAACCACCGCUCCUUACACAGAGGAAGCCGCGUUGACAGAAGUUGUUGAACCGCCGCAAUUUUCGCAUUUAGCUGGGUGCGGACCACCGCAAUUUUCGCAUUUAGCUGUGUGCGGUGGACGAAACCACCGCACUUUACACAGACGAAGUCGCGUUUGUGUGUGGGAUUGUUUCUGGCUGUUGGUUCACUUGUGUCGGCUUCCAUGGCAUGCCGCGCCUGGGCGUUGGCUUGAUCGCUCUCCUCCGCCUUCUCCCUCACUUGUUUUGACGUGAGAGAGUGGCGUCGUUUCGGCGUUCCCUUUUGGGUUUGGCGCCUUUUUGUGGGGAUUUGCGGUGGUUUGUGUUGGUGUUUGUUGGCGUCAGCGGUGCGCGCUGGCGUUUUCGUAGGGCAUUCCACCACACGAUGCACGGCACCAAAAUCCAGCUAACGAAAGUAAGAUAUACCCAGCAGCAAAGACAACACAUAAUCCCGCAUCAGAAGACACCAAAUCUGCAACCAUAUCAAACUACACAAACGGAAAGCCAAUCCCUCCCAACACUCUAGUGCGUUCCUCCUCUUGGAGACGCAAAACAAAAGUCGGACGCAGUAGCCCAAAACCUCUCUAAAGAAAAACAAGAAAGGCAAAGAAACCUAUCAGCAGAUUCUGCGAAACAGUGAUAAACAUGCUAUGGUCGCCAACAAUCACACAUCCUCGCCUAUGUGGCCGGACCAGCAGCCACUCGGCCAACAACACAUACCGUUGGCAUCACACAUUGAUGCCAAUGCCAACAACAUUAACAACGCAUCCCGGGUGGCCGCACCUGUGCCACUCGGUCCGAUGAGCCAACUCCAAAAACACAGGCAGAUGCAACUUGGGCGGCCGGACCAGAGCCGUCCGCCACCAAUCAUUCCACCACACGAUACGCCACCAAAAUCCAGCUGAUGGAUUGUCUGCUUUGGCUUUGUUUGCUGCUUGCUUUUUAUUGGUGGCCGCUGCAUCUGGUGGUGAUGGCGGCUACUACGUCUGGCCUGCUCCCUCUCUCCCUCCUCAUCGUCACUCUCACGGACGAUGAGGGCGUGGCGUCGCUGGUAUUGGUGGCUGAACAACGGCGCGAAUCGGUCCCUCGCCCGAACUCAUACCAGGUUUGGUAUGAGCCGAGUUUGAGCUCUAUCCGGCCGUGUUAGUAUGUGUGUGUUGGCUGGCCGUGUGGAUGCCGAUUGCGGUAGCUCCGCUCCUCCCCGUUGCCCCCGCCACUCUCUCUUGAGUGGAAAUGGCUGGAGAGAGUGGGAGCGCGGGAGGCGGGAAAAGUGGCCGUGAGAGCGGCGUCCUCUUGGCAUUUCCUUUUGUGGUUGGCGCGGUUUUUAGGGAAUUAGCGGUUGUUGCUGGUGCUGUUAUUGGCGCUGUCGCUCUUGCUGCCGCUGCCGACGCAGCCAUGGCCUCCAUGUUCUCAUGGAGCCUGCACCCUCCGGCAUUGGCUGCCCAUUUUUGAGCCGUCUCCUCCUGGUAUUGGCGGAAGGAGAAGUGCUCGCUUUUUUUCGGGUUGUGUGUCGACGGCGCGAGCACAAUAGGACUGAUUGGCCACAGCAAGUGACCCUCAGCUAAGUUUAUUUGUUUUCGCAAUUUUACAUUUAAACGCCUUUACAAAUAUUUUUAAAAGCUGUUCUUUUAACAGCGGAACCACUACUUAACAUGGUUGGGAAAUUUUACAUAAUGUUACAGGGAAAUGGAUAAGGCACUUUACAUUACAAGAAAUCAACAUUUUCUGGCAACGCCGUGCGCUUGUUGUAUAUAGUUAAGGUAAUACUAAUCUUAAUAUUAGUUUGUGUUUUGUGUAGAUUAUUUACAUUGUUGUUGGCUGAUUUCCAUAUUGUGAGUUGAGAAGGGAUUUCUUCGCCAGUUCUCACGUCUAGCCUGGAGUACUGUCAUCUGGAUGGCACUCAGACUUCUGUUGCUGCUUGGGUUGUGUUGUUCCAUCAUUGAGGCGUAUCUUGGUCUGGCCAGCCUCCUGGGGAUGUAUGGUUGUGUUGCGAUAUCACAGGCAAGAAGAUUUUAGUGCUGCAUUAGUCGGGUGUAAUAGUUAUUGCAGUGUGCAUUGCAGAUUUCAUUGAUAUUUGAAAUGUUGAGAUCCGCGUGCAGUGUUUUAUUGCUCACGUACCAGGGUGCAUUAGUAAUUGCUCUGAGGGCUUUGUUUUGUAAUGUUUGCAUUUGUCCAUUUGCAUGUUUGCAUGCCCAGACUGGCAAGGCAUACUGCCAUAUUGGGGCAACCAGUUGCUUGCAGAGAAGGACUUUUAGAUGCAGGGUAAAAUAAUACAUCUUGCAAAAAUUGUGGCGCCUACUAUUUAACUACAUAUGUGUAGUAACAGACAUGGCUGAAAAAUGACAGGGUAACAUUGGUUACAAUAAUGUCUGUUUAGAAUUUUAACAGUGUUGUAUAUAGUUAAGGUAAUACUAAUCUUAAUAUUAAUUUGUGUUUUGUGUAGAUUAUUUGCAUUGUUUUAAAUUACAUGUGUAUUUGAUGUGUUAGUGUUAUUGUGGCUGAUUUCCAUAUUGUGAGUUGAGAAGGGAUUUCUUCGCCAGUUCUCACGUCUAGCCUGGAGUACUGUCAUCUGGAUGGCACUCAGACUUCUGUUGCUGCUUGGGUUGUGUUGUUCCAUCAUUGAGGCGUAUCUUGGUCUGGCCAGCCUCCUGGGGAUGUAUGGUUGUGUUGCGAUAUCACAGGCAAGAAGAUUUUAGUGCUGCAUUAGUCGGGUGUAAUAGUUAUUGCAGUGUCCAUUGCAGAUUUCAUUGAUAUUUGAAAUGUUGAGAUCCGCGUGCAGUGUUUUAUUGCUCACGUACCAGGGUGCAUUAGUAAUUGCUCUGAGGGCUUUGUUUUGUAAUGUUUGCAUUUGUCCAUUUGUCCACCGCACUUUACACAGACGAAGUCGCGUUUGUGUGUGGGAUUGUUUCUGGCUGUUGGUUCACUUGUAUCGGCUUCCAUGGCAUGCCGCGCCUGGGCGUUGGCUUGAUCGCUCUCCUCCGCCUUCUCCCUCACUUGUUUUGACGUGAGAGAGUGGCGUCGUUUCGGCGUUCCCUUUUGGGUUUGGCGCCUUUUUGUGGGGAUUUGCGGUGGUUUGUGUUGGUGUUUGUUGGCGUCAGCGGUGCGCGCUGGCGUUUUCGUAGGGCAUUCCACCACACGAUGCACGGCACCAAAAUCCAGCUAACGAAAGUAAGAUAUACCCAGCAGCAAAGACAACACAUAAUCCCGCAUCAGAAGACACCAAAUCUGCAACCAUAUCAAACUACACAAACGGAAAGCCAAUCCCUCCCAACACUCUAGUGCGUUCCUCCUCUUGGAGACGCAAAACAAAAGUCGGACGCAGUAGCCCAAAACCUCUCUAAAGAAAAACAAGAAAGGCAAAGAAACCUAUCAGCAGAUUCUGCGAAACAGUGAUAAACAUGCUAUGGUCGCCAACAAUCAUACAUCCUCGCCUAUGUGGCCGGACCAGCAGCCACUCGGCCAACAACACAUACCGUUGGCAUCACACAUUGAUGCCAAUGCCAACAACAUUAACAACGCAUCCCGGGUGGCCGCACCUGUGCCACUCGGUCCGAUGAGCCAACUCCAAAAACACAGGCAGAUGCAACUUGGGCGGCCGGACCAGAGCCGUCCGCCACCAAUCAUUCCACCACACGAUACGCCACCAAAAUCCAGCUGAUGGAUUGUCUGCUUUGGCUUUGUUUGCUGCUUGCUUUUUAUUGGUGGCCGCUGCAUCUGGUGGUGAUGGCGGCUACUACGUCUGGCCUGCUCCCUCUCUCCCUCCUCAUCGUCACUCUCACGGACGAUGAGGGCGUGGCGUCGCUGGUAUUGGUGGCUGAACAACGGCGCGAAUCGGUCCCUCGCCCGAACUCAUACCAGGUUUGGUAUGAGCCGAGUUUGAGCUCUAUCCGGCCGUGUUAGUAUGUGUGUGUUGGCUGGCCGUGUGGAUGCCGAUUGCGGUAGCUCCGCUCCUCCCCGUUGCCCCCGCCACUCUCUCUUGAGUGGAAAUGGCUGGAGAGAGUGGGAGCGCGGGAGGCGGGAAAAGUGGCCGUGAGAGCGGCGUCCUCUUGGCAUUUCCUUUUGUGGUUGGCGCGGUUUUUAGGGAAUUAGCGGUUGUUGCUGGUGCUGUUAUUGGCGCUGUCGCUCUUGCUGCCGCUGCCGACGCAGCCAUGGCCUCCAUGUUCUCAUGGAGCCUGCACCCUCCGGCAUUGGCUGCCCAUUUUUGAGCCGUCUCCUCCUGGUAUUGGCGGAAGGAGAAGUGCUCGCUUUUUUUCGGGUUGUGUGUCGACGGCGCGAGCACAAUAGGACUGAUUGGCCACAGCAAGUGACCCUCAGCUAAGUUUAUUUGUUUUCGCAAUUUUACAUUUAAACGCCUUUACAAAUAUUUUUAAAAGCUGUUCUUUUAACAGCGGAACCACUACUUAACAUGGUUGGGAAAUUUUACAUAAUGUUACAGGGAAAUGGAUAAGGCACUUUACAUUACAAGAAAUCAACAUUUUCUGGCAACGCCGUGCGCUUGUUGUAUAUAGUUAAGGUAAUACUAAUCUUAAUAUUAGUUUGUGUUUUGUGUAGAUUAUUUACAUUGUUGUUGGCUGAUUUCCAUAUUGUGAGUUGAGAAGGGAUUUCUUCGCCAGUUCUCACGUCUAGCCUGGAGUACUGUCAUCUGGAUGGCACUCAGACUUCUGUUGCUGCUUGGGUUGUGUUGUUCCAUCAUUGAGGCGUAUCUUGGUCUGGCCAGCCUCCUGGGGAUGUAUGGUUGUGUUGCGAUAUCACAGGCAAGAAGAUUUUAGUGCUGCAUUAGUCGGGUGUAAUAGUUAUUGCAGUGUGCAUUGCAGAUUUCAUUGAUAUUUGAAAUGUUGAGAUCCGCGUGCAGUGUUUUAUUGCUCACGUACCAGGGUGCAUUAGUAAUUGCUCUGAGGGCUUUGUUUUGUAAUGUUUGCAUUUGUCCAUUUGCAUGUUUGCAUGCCCAGACUGGCAAGGCAUACUGCCAUAUUGGGGCAACCAGUUGCUUGCAGAGAAGGACUUUUAGAUGCAGGGUAAAAUAAUACAUCUUGCAAAAAUUGUGGCGCCUACUAUUUAACUACAUAUGUGUAGUAACAGACAUGGCUGAAAAAUGACAGGGUAACAUUGGUUACAAUAAUGUCUGUUUAGAAUUUUAACAGUGUUGUAUAUAGUUAAGGUAAUACUAAUCUUAAUAUUAAUUUGUGUUUUGUGUAGAUUAUUUGCAUUGUUUUAAAUUACAUGUGUAUUUGAUGUGUUAGUGUUAUUGUGGCUGAUUUCCAUAUUGUGAGUUGAGAAGGGAUUUCUUCGCCAGUUCUCACGUCUAGCCUGGAGUACUGUCAUCUGGAUGGCACUCAGACUUCUGUUGCUGCUUGGGUUGUGUUGUUCCAUCAUUGAGGCGUAUCUUGGUCUGGCCAGCCUCCUGGGGAUGUAUGGUUGUGUUGCGAUAUCACAGGCAAGAAGAUUUUAGUGCUGCAUUAGUCGGGUGUAAUAGUUAUUGCAGUGUCCAUUGCAGAUUUCAUUGAUAUUUGAAAUGUUGAGAUCCGCGUGCAGUGUUUUAUUGCUCACGUACCAGGGUGCAUUAGUAAUUGCUCUGAGGGCUUUGUUUUGUAAUGUUUGCAUUUGUCCAUUUGUCCACCGCACUUUACACAGACGAAGUCGCGUUUGUGUGUGGGAUUGUUUCUGGCUGUUGGUUCACUUGUAUCGGCUUCCAUGGCAUGCCGCGCCUGGGCGUUGGCUUGAUCGCUCUCCUCCGCCUUCUCCCUCACUUGUUUUGACGUGAGAGAGUGGCGUCGUUUCGGCGUUCCCUUUUGGGUUUGGCGCCUUUUUGUGGGGAUUUGCGGUGGUUUGUGUUGGUGUUUGUUGGCGUCAGCGGUGCGCGCUGGCGUUUUCGUAGGGCAUUCCACCACACGAUGCACGGCACCAAAAUCCAGCUAACGAAAGUAAGAUAUACCCAGCAGCAAAGACAACACAUAAUCCCGCAUCAGAAGACACCAAAUCUGCAACCAUAUCAAACUACACAAACGGAAAGCCAAUCCCUCCCAACACUCUAGUGCGUUCCUCCUCUUGGAGACGCAAAACAAAAGUCGGACGCAGUAGCCCAAAACCUCUCUAAAGAAAAACAAGAAAGGCAAAGAAACCUAUCAGCAGAUUCUGCGAAACAGUGAUAAACAUGCUAUGGUCGCCAACAAUCAUACAUCCUCGCCUAUGUGGCCGGACCAGCAGCCACUCGGCCAACAACACAUACCGUUGGCAUCACACAUUGAUGCCAAUGCCAACAACAUUAACAACGCAUCCCGGGUGGCCGCACCUGUGCCACUCGGUCCGAUGAGCCAACUCCAAAAACACAGGCAGAUGCAACUUGGGCGGCCGGACCAGAGCCGUCCGCCACCAAUCAUUCCACCACACGAUACGCCACCAAAAUCCAGCUGAUGGAUUGUCUGCUUUGGCUUUGUUUGCUGCUUGCUUUUUAUUGGUGGCCGCUGCAUCUGGUGGUGAUGGCGGCUACUACGUCUGGCCUGCUCCCUCUCUCCCUCCUCAUCGUCACUCUCACGGACGAUGAGGGCGUGGCGUCGCUGGUAUUUGUGGCUGAACAACGGCGCGAAUCGGUCCCUCGCCCGAACUCAUACCAGGUUUGGUAUGAGCCGAGUUUGAGCUCGAUCCGGCCGUGUUAGUAUGUGUGUGUUGGCUGGCCGUGUGGAUGCCGAUUGCGGUAGCUCCGCUCCUCCCCGUUGCCCCCGACACUCUCUCUUGAGUGGAAAUGGCUGGAGAGAGUGGGAGCGCGGGAGGCGGGAAAAGUGGCCGUGAGAGCGGCGUCCUCUUGGCAUUUCCUUUUGUGGUUGGCGCGGUUUUUAGGGAAUUAGCGGUUGUUGCUGGUGCUGUUAUUGGCGCUGUCGCUCUUGCUGCCGCUGCCGACGCAGCCAUGGCCUCCAUGUUCUCAUGGAGCCUGCACCCUCCGGCAUUGGCUGCCCAUUUUUGAGCCGUCUCCUCCUGGUAUUGGCGGAAGGAGAAGUGCUCGCUUUUUUUCGGGUUGUGUGUCGACGGCGCGAGCACAAUAGGACUGAUUGGCCACAGCAAGUGACCCUCAGCUAAGUUUAUUUGUUUUCGCAAUUUUACAUUUAAACGCCUUUACAAAUAUUUUUAAAAGCUGUUCUUUUAACAGCGGAACCACUACUUAACAUGGUUGGGAAAUUUUACAUAAUGUUACAGGGAAAUGGAUAAGGCACUUUACAUUACAAGAAAUCAACAUUUUCUGGCAACGCCGUGCGCUUGUUGUAUAUAGUUAAGGUAAUACUAAUCUUAAUAUUAGUUUGUGUUUUGUGUAGAUUAUUUACAUUGUUGUUGGCUGAUUUCCAUAUUGUGAGUUGAGAAGGGAUUUCUUCGCCAGUUCUCACGUCUAGCCUGGAGUACUGUCAUCUGGAUGGCACUCAGACUUCUGUUGCUGCUUGGGUUGUGUUGUUCCAUCAUUGAGGCGUAUCUUGGUCUGGCCAGCCUCCUGGGGAUGUAUGGUUGUGUUGCGAUAUCACAGGCAAGUUUUAAUGGUUUGACUGGCUCAGGGCACUUUAGAGUGACCUGAAGCUUUAUUUAUUAAUGUUCUUAUUACUAUUGGCAACAUAUAACAUUAUUUAUGGAAACAUUUAACAUUUUUUUAACAUUUAGGUAUUUUUUUUUACUUUACGGUAACAUUGAUAAUAACAGACAGAAAAAUACUAGACAGUUAUCAAUUUGCUCUUGUAAACAAAAGGUAAGUUAAGAUCGGCUUGUGUUUUCUUUUUUCUGGCUUAGGCAUAAAAAUUUUGUGACGCCGCUCCUGGACCCCUCAUCCGGUGCGAAACGGAGGUAUGGACGACAGGGAGACCUCCAAGCAUCGGCAACGCAAGCGCGGCAUCGCCUCGUCCCUCUUUUCCUGGCCGAAUCCAACCGAUGCAGCUCUAAGAAGAACGGCGGCGCAUAUGCUUCUUUCUGUGGAUGAUAUGAAACUCCUGGCUGAUUUUAAUAUUGUUUUAUUUUCAGGUUUAUGUUUUGUAGGUUUGGUGAUCAAGUGUCAGGAAUCCAGUUAGGUUCGAUUGGUCCAUUGGGAGGUUUGCGUUGAGUUUGGCUAAAUUAAUUUAUUUAGAGGUUUGCGUUGAAUUUGGU